AAGGGAGGCCGAGACCCGUCAGACUACAUGUCCCAGCCGAGCCGGCGCCGCCUUUUUCUCUCCCCCGCCCUCCCCUCCUUUCCCCCACCCCGCCCCCCCUCCAGUCUAGGGGGGGAAAUAGGGGAACGGUAGGGGGGUUACCCCCAGGUCAGCGCGCGAAUCGGGCAUUUAAGCUGGCAUCUGCUCCCCGGUCUUUGUCGCCGAGACAACACGCCCCCUGAGCUGUGGGCAGCUGCGGUGAGCUGGCUGGGAAAGUUGGCGUUGUUUAUGAAUUUCCUGCCACCACUGUGAAGACUGAGAGGAAGCGCGGGAGGAGAAAAGAGAGAACAGGUCGACUGGGGAAGCUAGAGUAAACUCCAGAAAACAUGCGGAUCCCCCAGGAAAGGAGCCAGCAACAAUUGCCCUGCAGGAACUUGUGAGCUCCCGAGUUCUUCAGGCAGAGUUGAUUGACAGUAGCAAGAUUUUCUCCAUCUCAGAGAAGGUGACCAAUGACAGGAAAUGAAGCUAAGCUUAGCAGAAGACAUAGACCCUGAAGGUAUUAUUCAAAUAGUGAAGAGUUGAGGUUAAGGAAAAAUGGGUGUUCAUGAGUCUCAUAAAAUGUUUCAUUCCAGAAAAAGAUAAUGACAAAUGUUGGAAGGGAUGUGGGAAAACUGGGACACUAAUACAAUGUUGGUAGAACUGUAAAUAGAUACAACCAUUCUGGAGAGCAAUUUGGAACUAUGCUCAAAAAGUUGUUAUACUGUCUAUACCCUUUGACCCAGUAGUGUUUCUACUGGGCUUAUAUCCCAAAGAGAUCUUAAAGGAGAGAAAGGAACCCACAUGUACAAAAAUGUUUGUGGCAGCCCUGUUUGUAGUGGCUAGAAACUGGAAAAUGAAUGGAUGUCCAUCAAUUGGAGAAUGGUUGAGUAAAUUGUGGUAUAUGAAUGUUAUGGAAUAUUAUUGUUCUGUAAGAAAUAAUCAACAGGAUGAUUUCAGAAAGGCCUGGAGAGGCUUACAUGAACUGAUGCUGAGUGAAAUGAGCAGAACCAGGAGAUCAUUAUACACUUCAACAAUACUAUAUGAGGAUCAAUUCUAAUGGAUGUGACUCUCUUCAACAAUGAGAUGAUUCAAAUCAAUUCCAAUUGUUCAGUGAUGAAGAGAGCCAUCUACACCCCGAGAGGACUGUGGGAACUAAGUGUGAGCCAAAACAUAGCAUCUUUACUUUUUCUGUUGAUGUUUCCUUGCAUUUUGUUUUCUUUCUCAGGUGGUUUUUUUUCCUUUCUUUAACCAAUUUUUCUUGGGCAGCAAGAUAACUGUAUGUAUAUAUAGAUAUUGGCUUAAACACUUAUUUGAACAUAUUUAACAUAUAUUAGCCUACCUGCCAUCUAGGGGAGAGGGUGGAGGGAAGGAAGGAAAAAUUUGGAACAGAAAGUUUUGCAAGGGUCAUGCUGAAAAAUUACCCAUGCAUAUUUUUAUAAAUAAAAAGCUUUAAUAAAAUAAAAUUUUUCAUGCUUUAAUAUUUUAAGUAUUGACCUUCUAAGAGAAUAUAAUAAGAAUUAUGGGUUAGUAUUUCCUGUUUUGAGUAGUUUUCAAUAGAUACUUAUCAGCUAUUCUAUACUUGAUUAGCAUUGUAUUUCGCCACAUUUUCCUUCUUUGAAAGAUUCCAGAAUUGAGCCAAACCUACUAAUUAAGUGGUUCCCCCCCAAAAAAUAAAAUCACAUAAUGCUCCCUCCCCCUCAAAAAAAAAGUUUAUAUCAUGAUCCCAUUCAAUGAAAAUUUUGUUUCUAGAAAAUGGAAUAGCCUAAUAUUCUAAAACACAAUUGACCAUGCUUUCCAAUUCCCAACUGGGGAACCAUAUCCUUUUAUUUUUUGGCUGGUCCCUUUUUCCUUCCUGUUAGCAAGAGCUUAAGCUGGCAACUAAGGACUCCCUUAAUAUCUGGGAUCAUAUUUUUUCCUGUUUAUACAAAGCUCAUGUGUAAGUUCACAGUGUUAUUAUAUAUUAUUACAAAGUAUAAAAACCUUUAGUACUAUUGCACCAUGACUUAGGACAAAAAAUAUAUAUUCAUUUGCCCUGAAAUAUGUCAUAUGGGCAAUUCUAUACAACUGUAAAUCUGAGUUCACACAAUUCUGUAAGCUUGGGACCUAGAUGGGCCUGAAGGCAGGUGAUAAGACCCUCUGCCAUUCUGCUACCCAUCAGCAGGCUAAACCUGCCAAGACCGAUGCUUCCCCUGUGGCAUGGCAGAUCCUAUUACCUGCAGCUGUGAGGGCAAGUCUGUGCUUCAUUAUAUCAGUAAGAGGAAAGACAACUCAUGUAGAAAAGAAAAUUAGAAUGACUAAUGUGUAAAAUAGUUAGCAGGAAGUAAGGAGUGAUUGGGAAUAGACAAGGUCCAGGAGGGCUCUGGGAUGAUGUUUUCCAGGAUAAGAAUGUUUGUAAAGGCUCCAAGCCAGUCUCCAGAUGCAGUCUUUUGUGUGUGCUAAUAUUUGUCAAUACUUGCAUAGCCUUUGUUCUGACACCAGGUUCUUGCCAGUUGCUGGUUCUGCAGAUGGAAAAGGGAAAUCAAAAGUCCACCAAGGGACCAGCGAUGCUAAGCUAUCCACAGACUUCAGUCAAAGAAAAUAAAUCUACACUCAGGCUCACAUAAUUGUUACAUUCUGCAGGUAAUUUCUGUGAUGUGUUCUAUUUAUUACCCAUGAGUUUCUGUUUUCAAUGUUUUAUUUUAUUUCCAAAAAGGAAAUAAAGAGAAAAAAGAGUAAAGCAAAGCAAAGGGGAGCAGACAAAUAUUCACAACCAACAGAGAUUUUUCAAUUCAUCGUGGUAAUUUGAAAUAAUAAACUUAUUAAAUAUAUCAGGAAAAAACAGCAACAAAUAAAGGUAGAAAAGAUACCCUGUACUUCUUGCACAAUUCCCACACAGUAUCCAGAGGCCUUCUAAGGCAACAAGCAUAUUCUUUUGACAUUCUUGUCUAUUGUGAUUGUAUUUAUUGCUUAUUGUCUUCCUUAUACAAUUAAAAUUUUAUUCCAAUAUCCAAUAAUUUCCAUGGUAGGAAACUAUGAAUGUAAGUGACAAGCACAUUGAAAGAAAAUUUAAACAUAUUGCAUGUCAUUU
Molecule: long non-coding RNA, 3085 nt
Organism: Antechinus flavipes (yellow-footed antechinus)
Lineage: Eukaryota; Metazoa; Chordata; Mammalia; Dasyuromorphia; Dasyuridae
Exons: 3
Source: RefSeq, a predicted model, not a curated record